AUCGCUUCUCGGCCUUUUGGCUAAGAUCAAGUGUAAGAUAUUAGUAAACUGAACAUAGCACAGUAUAUUUUUUAAAAUACAUGGUAACCAAU
RNAcentral lists this small RNA (92 nucleotides) under Marmota monax (woodchuck). Lineage: Eukaryota; Metazoa; Chordata; Mammalia; Rodentia; Sciuridae. The record is from RNAcentral.